RNAcentral lists this long non-coding RNA (607 nucleotides) under Eutrema salsugineum. Its description in RNAcentral is "long non-coding RNA (ESAL_LNC002197)". The record is from RNAcentral. Lineage: Eukaryota; Viridiplantae; Streptophyta; Magnoliopsida; Brassicales; Brassicaceae.
UUCAGGGGAAACCACGAUCCUGACCAACUUUGAGUAACCUCUCCAAAUCUGUCACAUAUGGUCUUCGUAAAUAUUCAUCAUGAAACAAGGUAAUUAUCCCUUCACAAAUUUUUUAAGUACACUCUAGCGCAGUGCUUUCUCUAAUCUUCACAUACUCGUCACAAGCAUUCAGCUAGGCAGCCAUAUGCGAGCAUGCCGAGGGCAGAUGUGCACUUCUGGACAGGGAAAAGAGCAGGCUUCCCGGAAUUAUUGCGCCUUUGAGUGAAAUAGAUGUCGUAAUUUGAUGAAGAUUCUGUAAUUCGUAGAAACAAUGGCCCUUUUUAUUCGAUAUCUUCUUCGAACUACAUGUCGGGUGUAAGUGCAUGACUCGUCAAAGUAGUUGGCCAUGAGCCUUUGAUGGGCAGCUACUUGAUUCCUAUAGAUAUAAUUUGUGGAAUGGGAUCUUCGUUUCUUCUUUGCAGUUCCUCAAGAAGUUCUUAUUGCCUUUGGAUCAGAGAUUCUUCCAACUUCCACUGUUGUUUGAAAGUUAAAAAAUUUGGUGAUACAUCCAUUGAAUGCUACGAAGAAGAAAGUAUGAAUGUUUGGAGUGAGUUAUGUUGAUAUGAUG